CUUACUUAUCGUUUUAGAAAGGAAUUAUGAACGAGCUCUCGACUAAAAUAAAGAGGGGCCGAGAGUUUAAGAGAAAGGUUGUCAUAACUGUUGAGCCGAUGGUUUUUAAUUACGAGCUCAGCGAUCCAGAAGUGAUGAAAAUUGGGACCCCAUUUGUGAAAAACUCUCAAAUAAAAACUAGACUUGACAUGACAGAAUGGUGCAAGUUGACCAAAGAUCCUGCGUAUCAGUUGGUGAAAAAUGCCGAGACGCAGAAUUAUGCCAUCAAACCGAACAAUCUAUUUGUCUAUGACGAUCAAGAGUCGUUGACGGCGAAGAUUCAAUAUGUAAUGGAAUUCGGAGCAGGAGUUGGGAUGCACAGUCUUGUCUAUGAUGAUGACGACGGAAAUGGAUUGUGUGGCUGCGGCAGGAUGCCUUUCUUAAGACAUGUCGUCAACAUACUCAAAAUGAACUGCGAACCAAUCCCGUGUUUUUAAUAUUUAAUUUAAUAUUUA
This is a long non-coding RNA of Cloeon dipterum, 494 nucleotides long. RefSeq lists it as uncharacterized. NCBI's taxonomy places the organism in Eukaryota, Metazoa, Arthropoda, Insecta, Ephemeroptera, Baetidae. The record is from RefSeq and is a predicted model, not a curated record. The transcript is spliced from 3 exons.